Molecule: long non-coding RNA, 3457 nt
Filed under: Lactuca sativa (garden lettuce)
Lineage: Eukaryota; Viridiplantae; Streptophyta; Magnoliopsida; Asterales; Asteraceae
Description: long non-coding RNA (LSAT_LNC001069)
Source: RNAcentral
CAGAUAGUUAAUUGUGUUGAUCUGCCCUAAGCCCACAACCAAACAAGGAACAGGAAAUGAAGUGGAAAACACACAUACAACAACCUAUCGGGUAUUAAUUGUAUAUAACCCUGAUGUAUAAACUAAGGUAUUAUAGAAUUAACCACCUAAGGUACUUUAAAAUGACAUCAUGAUGUACUGAUUUCCUUAAAACAUGUUUGUUUUAUUAAGGUCAUAAUGUGAAGGCUAGUACCCACACUAUACGCUCUCCCUGUCAAAAGAUUCUAGGAACCAAACGUGACUUUAGCAAAUAAUUGCAAGGCCGUGUAAACUCACAAUAAGGUCAUGCGAUCGUGUAUACCCAAUUUAACUAUCACCUUUUGUUUAGAACAAUGAGUUAGUGAUUCAGUGGUAUAAUUAGAUCUUGUAGUUUUUCUCAUGUUAGAGCAUCUUAGUAUGUUCGUUCUGUUAUAGUAUCUUAGUAUCUUCUUUCUGUUAUAGUAUCUAGGUAUGAACUGAACCCCUAAACUAUACCUCUUAUAGCUUACUAGUAUGUUACUUGAACUGUUAUUGAAAAGACUCAUUUAUCUACUAAGUUAUGCUGGUAUAUUAAAAGUAGAGUUUUGUUAAACUAUAAAGUAACAUAAAUUUAAAAGAGUUUUUGAAAUGUUUUGAUCACUUAUAAAAGACAUAAGCAAUCUUUCGAAAGAAGUUGAUAACAAACAUUUACACAACUAUCAUUGUUUUCAACUUGUAUCCCCCCCCCCCUUAAAAGCAUUUAAAACAGUUAAAAGAUUCAUUAUAGGGGUAUGAGCUCACCUUAUGUGGGUGAGUCAAACGAAUAUGUGCGUAAGGAUGAGAAGUUCCACAAAUGAAGUCCCGAAACAAAAACGAGUCCUAACUGACAUAUAUGGAAAGUAUUUUCAUGAAUAUAGUGUUUAUAAGCAACCGACAUGCAAGGAUACAUCCUUAGGGACAUGUACUAAGUGUUGAAAUUACAUGUGAUUGAUCAAAGGGAUAUUUAAGGCCACCAAAUGGAGUUUACGACCAUGGGUUUACAGCCAUGAAUUUUACGUCCGUAAACUCAUGGUAAAAGGUGCAUAAGAGGGUGUUUGAAUGCUAGGGAAACUUGUGGGACCAUUGCUCUAUAAUACGAUGAGCAACACUAACUUAUUGUGAGGUGUUGAGGUGUUUAUGGCCACACCAAAAUUGUAUGGCUAUAAAAUCUCCAAAUGGUGUCGUUUUGGGUCCUAGAGGAAAGGGUUCUCAAUGGUUCAUGUGCUCCAAAGGAUAGAUAGUGUCUAGAAGUGUUUAGGGCUCAAUACUUGACCCAAAGGAUAGAUAGUGUCUAGAAGUGUUUAGGGCUCAAUACUUGACCCAAAGGAUAGAUAGUGUCUAGAAGUGUUUAGGGCUCAAUACUUGACCCAAACUAAGGUUUACGGCCAAGGGAGAUUGCUCAUGGUCGUAAACUCUCAUUGAUCUUGGAGAUUGGUUGAUUUCAAGGAUGUAAAUCAUGGACUUCUACUAGAUAAUAAGUGUAUGUAAGGAAUACUCACUUUUUGAGGGCCUUUAAGUAGUUUACAGCCACCAAAAGCUAGUGUGUGUUCUUGGUGUUCUUGGUGAAAGAUGAAGAUCUAGCCAAAAGAUGUUUUCAUGGAUGGAAUCAAAGGGUGAUUCAUGAGUAAGAAGGGUAAUAAAAAAUUAAAGGGAAGAAUCACUUACAUUUGGAUGAUCCGGAAUGAAAAUCUCGAUGAUACUUGAGUGAGAAGUCAAGUGUUUUUGAGUUGGAAAUGUAAGAAUGAAAGGAAGAUGAAGGCAAUGAGGCUUUAAGGGGAGUUUACAGCCAUCCUUGAGUUUACGGCCGUAAACUCAAGUGUCUUGGCUGUGAAAUCCUUUUUAGUGGUUUUAAGGCUCGGAUGUGGCACAAUGUCUCUAGCAGGUACUUCCUAUCACCCGUUAUCGCGUUAUAAUAUCAUAGAAUACUCCUAUAGUAUUCUAACUCUAUGUACUUGAUCUAGAAUUCUCUUGACUGGUGUUAGGUAAGUUUUAAGACCAUUGCCACACCACAUCACUCCCAAACACAUGUCUGUCACAUCUCGAAUGAAUAUAGUUGAUCAGACUAUAUUGAUCCUAGCUAUGAUUACAUAACUGUCAAGGUUUGACCACAAUGUUCAACCUUUAACUUCUUCUGUUUUGUUCUUCUAGGGAUACUUGUUCUAGUAUGAAUACAUGUAUAAGCAAGUAGGUAUAUUUUUAUAACUUAUUGUUAUGUUCUUAAAAUAUAUUAUUAUAUAGAGCACUAAAGUACCAUUUUAUUUAUAGUUGUAUAUCUUUUAUCGGUUGAUAUACUUAGUUCACUAUAAACAAUGCUCUGAUACCAAUCUAUCACACCCCAAAACCGGAACGACGGAAACGAUCUGGGGUGGAGGGCGUCAUGUUUAGUAUCACAAGACAUGCAUCAUAGUAAUAAAAGUAAUAAACAACCAUUUCAUUAAAAAGAAAGUGUUUACAAAGUAUGUGUUCACAAAACAUAGAAUACAUAUGCAAAUAGCAAAAUAAGACAUGAAGCUAUACUGCUCCAUCUUCUGAAUUCCCAACGCGAGUACCUGUCCACUAGAUCCCUGAGAAUACAAGUUAUUUUGAAAGAGUUGAUCAGCAUUUAAGCUGGUGAGUUCAUAAGAUUUUAGUGAUGUAAGUAAGUGUAAGAAAGNGAAAGAUGUAGUAAGUUGUAAGUUUUGUUUAGAAAAGUUCGCCUGUUCCUCCAAAAAAAUCCUAUAUUUCCUGCUUUGACGAAAGAUAAGUAAAAAUGACUCUACAAUCCUUUUAUGAGUACAAAGUAGAUACGAGUUGUAUAAACACCCAUAGUAAACAAACAAUCGGUUGUGUGUAUCUGCCCUAAGCCCACAACCAAUGAAGGACCGGGAAAUGAGACGGAAAGCACACAUCUCAUUUUUUGUUAGAUCAUUGUUGUAUAUAUAACCCUAGCAUAUUCACUUGGAACUCACGGAGUUAACUAUAAUAGUUCAUUUAUAUUUGAUGAAAAGAUUCUUUAAGAAAACCCUUAUUUCUUAUAAAAAAAAAUAGUAACCACAGUUGUUCUUUCUAUAAUCACUUAGUUUAUACUAGCUAUAUAUAAUCUAAUAUCGAACAGAUAGUUAAUUGUGUGGAUCUGCCCUAAGCCAACAACCAACCAAGGACCAGGAAAUGAAGCGAAAAGCACACAUGCAACUACCUAUUGGGUAUUAAUUAUAUAUAACCAUGAUGUAUAAACUAAGGUAUUAUUGAAUUAACCACCUAAGGUCCCUUAAGUUAUUAUGGUUUAAUAAAAUGGAUUAAACCCUUUACUGGUAAGUUUCUAGUGUUGUAUAUCAAAAGUUCUAUUUAAAAAGUAUGUUUUGUACUAGAAAACUCUUCAUUGAAUUAGUAUUCUAUGACCUGGCCCAUACCUGGUACCCCUUAUGAUUACUUAGUGUAUACA